Molecule: ribosomal RNA, 247 nt
Filed under: uncultured bacterium
Lineage: Bacteria
Description: partial small subunit ribosomal RNA
Rfam family: Bacterial small subunit ribosomal RNA
Source: RNAcentral
AGGACGAACGCUGGCGGCGUGCUUAACGCAUGCAAGUCGAGCGAACCUUCGGGUUAGCGGCGAACGGGUGAGUAACACGUGGGCAACCUGCCCCGAGCUCUGGGAUAACCCCGGGAAACCGGGGCUAAUACCGGAUAUGACGCCAACAGACAUCUGUUGGUGUGGAAAGUUUUUCGGCUCGGGAUGGGCCCGCGGCCUAUCAGCUUGUUGGUGGGGUAACGGCCUACCAAGGCGACGACGGGUAGCC